ACAGCAAGCUAUGAACUCUCUCAAGGAGAUUGGAUUUAUUAACUACUAUGGAAUGCAAAGAUUUGGAACCACAGCUGUCCCUACGUAUCAGGUUGGAAGAGCUAUACUACAAAAUUCCUGGACAGAAGUCAUGGAUUUAAUAUUGAAACCCCGCUCUGGAGCUGAAAAGGGCUACUUGGUUAAAUGCAGAGAAGAAUGGGCAAAGACCAAAGACCCAACUGCUGCCCUCAGAAAACUACCUGUCAAAAGGUGUGUGGAAGGGCAGCUGCUUCGAGGACUUUCAAAAUAUGGAAUGAAGAAUAUAGUCUCUGCAUUUGGCAUAGU
Molecule: long non-coding RNA, 324 nt
Filed under: Pan troglodytes (chimpanzee)
Lineage: Eukaryota; Metazoa; Chordata; Mammalia; Primates; Hominidae
Description: long non-coding RNA NONPTRT016337
Source: RNAcentral